This 29-nucleotide non-coding RNA is filed under the name Mus musculus (house mouse). The record is from RNAcentral. Lineage: Eukaryota; Metazoa; Chordata; Mammalia; Rodentia; Muridae.
UGAGACACCUUCUCUCUGUGCUACACAAG